GGAGCUAGCUAGGCGGUCGCUGCCUGUUUUCAUACGAACGCAGGGAGAGGAAAGUCCGGACUCCACAGAGCAGGAUGUCGGCUAACGACCGACCACCGUGAGGUGAGGAAUAGGGCCACAGAGACGAGCGUAUUCAGUUACGGUGAAACGCGGUAACCUCCAUCCGGAGCAAAACCAAAUAGGCAGGCUACGAUGCUGCUCGCUGAGCCUGCGGGUAGGUUGCUUGAGCGUACAGGUAACUGUGCGCCUAGAGGAAUGACUGUCCCCGACAGAAUCCGGCUUAUCGGCUAGCUCCAACU
RNAcentral lists this RNase P RNA (299 nucleotides) under Nitrosomonas cryotolerans. RNAcentral's name for it is "Bacterial RNase P class A". It matches the Rfam family "Bacterial RNase P class A". Rfam says of the family: Ribonuclease P (RNase P) is a ubiquitous endoribonuclease, found in archaea, bacteria and eukarya as well as chloroplasts and mitochondria. Its best characterised activity is the generation of mature 5'-ends of tRNAs by cleaving the 5'-leader elements of precursor-tRNAs. Cellular RNase Ps are ribonucleoproteins. The record is from RNAcentral. Lineage: Bacteria; Pseudomonadati; Pseudomonadota; Betaproteobacteria; Nitrosomonadales; Nitrosomonadaceae. RNAcentral also lists the same sequence under 1 other name.